AUAGUGCUUAUCAUUUUGGAUAUGCAAACUAUAUAAUUCAGUUUUUAAUGGCUGAGGGACAUGGGCCGGUGGUGCUGGUGGGUGAUCCGCAUGCUGACUGGGCAUCGCAGGGAGCAGUGAAUGGACCUCAAAUGCUACAAGUUGAGGUCCAUUCACUGUUCCUUGUGGGGUCGGUCAGCAUGCGGAUCGCCCACUGGCGCCACUGGCUUGUGUCCCUCAGCCAUAUGCAAACUAUAAUUCAGUUUUUAAUCUUGCUUGGACAGAUUUUUAAUCAUACCAACCAUAGCCAUAAGUUCUUUUCUACUGCUUUAAUAAUUCUGUAAUCAAGU
This 329-nucleotide long non-coding RNA is filed under the name Androctonus crassicauda. The record is from RNAcentral. Lineage: Eukaryota; Metazoa; Arthropoda; Arachnida; Scorpiones; Buthidae.